Molecule: ribosomal RNA, 510 nt
Filed under: uncultured bacterium
Lineage: Bacteria
Description: bacterial SSU rRNA
Rfam family: Bacterial small subunit ribosomal RNA
Source: RNAcentral
AUGGCUCAGGAUGAACGCUAGCUACAGGCUUAACACAUGCAAGUCGAGGGGCAGCAUGUUGGUUGCUUGCAACCAAUGAUGGCGACCGGCGCACGGGUGAGUAACGCGUAUCCAACCUUCCCUAUAGUAGAGGAUAGCCCGGCGAAAGUCGGAUUAAUACUCUAUGUUUUCCAAUGCAGACAUCUAAAAUGGAACAAAGGUUCACCGCUAUAGGAUGGGGAUGCGUCUGAUUAGAUAGUCGGCGGGGUAACGGCCCACCGAGUCGACGAUCAGUAGGGGUUCUGAGAGGAAGGUCCCCCACAUUGGAACUGAGACACGGUCCAAACUCCUACGGGAGGCAGCAGUGAGGAAUAUUGGUCAAUGGGCGAGAGCCUGAACCAGCCAAGUAGCGUGCAGGAUGACGGCCCUAUGGGUUGUAAACUGCUUUUAUACAGGGAUAAAGUGACGUACGUGUACGUUUUUGUAGGUACUGUAUGAAUAAGGACCGGCUAAUUCCGUGCCAGCAGCUGC